CCUAGAUGAUUUUAGUGCUUGCACUAAAUGAAACUAGAUACAAGCGAGCGGCGGACGGGUGAGUAACACGUGGGUAACCUGCCCAAGAGACUGGGAUAACACCUGGAAACAGAUGCUAAUACCGGAUAACAACACUAGACGCAUGUCUAGAGUUUGAAAGAUGGUUCUGCUAUCACUCUUGGAUGGACCUGCGGUGCAUUAGCUAGUUGGUAAGGUAACGGCUUACCAAGGCAAUGAUGCAUAGCCGAGUUGAGAGACUGAUCGGCCACAUUGGGACUGAGACACGGCCCAAACUCCUACGGGAGGCAGCAGUAGGGAAUCUUCCACAAUGGACGAAAGUCUGAUGGAGCAACGCCGCGUGAGUGAAGAAGGGUUUCGGCUCGUAAAGCUCUGUUGGUAGUGAAGAAAGAUAGAGGUAGUAACUGGCCUUUAUUUGACGGUAAUUACUUAGAAAGUCACGGCUAACUACGUGCCAGCAGCCGCGGUAAUACGUAGGUGGCAAGCGUUGUCCGGAUUUAUUGGGCGUAAAGCGAGUGCAGGCGGUUCAAUAAGUCUGAUGUGAAAGCCUUCGGCUCAACCGGAGAAUUGCAUCAGAAACUGUUGAACUUGAGUGCAGAAGAGGAGAGUGGAACUCCAUGUGGUA
RNAcentral lists this ribosomal RNA (643 nucleotides) under Lactobacillaceae bacterium. RNAcentral's name for it is "bacterial SSU rRNA". It matches the Rfam family "Bacterial small subunit ribosomal RNA", at positions 62 to 678 of the family's 1533-position model. The record is from RNAcentral. Lineage: Bacteria; Bacillati; Bacillota; Bacilli; Lactobacillales; Lactobacillaceae.